UACGAAGGGGGCUAGCGUUGUUCGGAAUUACUGGGCGUAAAGCGCACGUAGGCGGACAUUUAAGUCAGGGGUGAAAUCCCAGAGCUCAACUCUGGAACUGCCUUUGAUACUGGGUGUCUUGAGUAUGGAAGAGGUAAGUGGAAUUCCGAGUGUAGAGGUGAAAUUCGUAGAUAUUCGGAGGAACACCAGUGGCGAAGGCGGCUUACUGGUCCAUUACUGACGCUGAGGUGCGAAAGCGUGGGGAGCAAACAGG
Molecule: ribosomal RNA, 253 nt
Filed under: uncultured bacterium
Lineage: Bacteria
Description: partial 16S ribosomal RNA
Rfam family: Bacterial small subunit ribosomal RNA
Source: RNAcentral